RNAcentral lists this ribosomal RNA (256 nucleotides) under uncultured bacterium. Its description in RNAcentral is "partial 16S ribosomal RNA". It matches the Rfam family "Bacterial small subunit ribosomal RNA", at positions 524 to 776 of the family's 1533-position model. The record is from RNAcentral.
UACGUAGGGAGCAAGCGUUGUCCGGAUUUAUUGGGCGUAAAGAGCUCGUAGGUGGCUUGGCAAGUCAGGUGUGAAAACUCCAGGCUCAACCUGGAGACGCCAUUUGAUACUGCCAUGGGCUUGAGUUCGGUAGGGGACCACGGAAUUCCCGGUGUAGUGGUGAAAUGCGUAGAUAUCGGGAGGAACACCGAUGGCGAAGGCAGGUCUCUGGGGCAUUAACUGACGCUGGGGAGCGAAGAAUGGGGGAGCGAACAGG